AACGAACGCUGGCGGCGCGCUUAACACAUGCAAGUCGAACGAGAAGGCGUAGCAAUACGCUUGUACAGUGGCGAACGGGUGAGUAAUACGUGGGCGACCUACCCUCGAGUGGGGAAUAACCCGCCGAAAGGCGGGCUAAUGCCGCGUACGCUUCCAUCUUUAUGGAGGUGGAAGGAAAGCCGUGCCGUGGGCACGGCGCUCAAGGAUGGGCUCACGUCCUAUCAGCUUGUGGUAGGAACGGCCUACCAAGGCUCCGACGGGUAGCUGGUCUGAGAGGACGAUCAGCCACACUGGCACUGCGACACGGGCCAGACUCCUACGGGAGGCAGCAGUGAGGAUAUUGCGCAAUGGGCGAAAGCCUGACGCAGCGACGCCGCGU
This 379-nucleotide ribosomal RNA is filed under the name uncultured bacterium. RNAcentral's name for it is "bacterial SSU rRNA". It matches the Rfam family "Bacterial small subunit ribosomal RNA", at positions 29 to 402 of the family's 1533-position model. The record is from RNAcentral.